RNAcentral lists this long non-coding RNA (351 nucleotides) under Panicum hallii. RNAcentral's name for it is "long non-coding RNA (PHAL_LNC000266)". Lineage: Eukaryota; Viridiplantae; Streptophyta; Magnoliopsida; Poales; Poaceae. The record is from RNAcentral.
GAGAAGACCGUUGGCAGCAGCCGAGGAGGAGCGCAAUAAGAGAGACCGGUUCUCACGGAAGAGUUUGUUGCUCGUGGAGAGCGCAUACGUGCGCGUGAAGUUCGACCAGUGCCUACGUGCGCACGGGUGAUCGCAGGAGUUCGUUGCCAGGAGCUGCGGCUAUAAAACCACCAUGUAUUCAGUUUGUUCGGUUUGAGCCGAGCUGAGUGGAAUACAAGAGAAACACCGGCAUUCAACGCCGGCCGCGCGUUUGGCGCCCCGUGGCGAGCGUAGGUCUCCCACCAAAUCGUGUGUCUCGUGUUCUUGUGAUUGUCCGGCAAUCCUCGGUUCCAACAGAAAUUGCUAUGCACC